GAUGAACGCUAGCGGCAGGCCUAAUACAUGCAAGUCAAGGGGCUCGCAAGAGCACCGGCGGACGGGUGCGUAACGCGUACACAACGUACCUCAGAGCGGGGGAUAGCAUUGGGAAACUGGUGGUAAAACCCCAUGGUGUUGCUGAAUGGCAUCAUUUAGCAACUAAAGUUUACACUUUGAGAUCGGUGUGCGUCUGAUUAGCUAGUUGGCGGGGUAACGGCCCACCAAGGCGACGAUCAGUAGGGGGUGUGAGAGCAUGACCCCCCACAUGGGUACUGAGACACGGACCCAACUCCUACGGGAGGCAGCAGUAAGGAAUAUUGGACAAUGGGCGCAAGCCUGA
RNAcentral lists this ribosomal RNA (343 nucleotides) under uncultured bacterium. Its description in RNAcentral is "bacterial SSU rRNA". It matches the Rfam family "Bacterial small subunit ribosomal RNA", at positions 28 to 386 of the family's 1533-position model. The record is from RNAcentral.